GAUGAACGCUAGCUACAGGCUUAACACAUGCAAGUCGAGGGGUAACGAGAGGAAAGCUUGCUUUCCUUGUCGACGACCGGCGCACGGGUGAGUAACGCGUAUCCAACCUGCCCCCAACUAAGGAAUAACCUUGCGAAAGUAAGACUAAUACCUUAUAAUUUCCUCAGAUGUCAUCUGACGAGGAAUAAAGAUUUAUCGGUUGUGGAUGGGGAUGCGUCUGAUUAGCUUGUUGGCGGGGUAACGGCCCACCAAGGCAACGAUCAGUAGGGGUUCUGAGAGGAAGGUCCCCCACAUUGGAACUGAGACACGGUCCAAACUCUUACGGGAGGCAGCAGUGAGGAAUAUUGGUCAAUGGGCGGAAGCCUGGACCAGCCAAGUAGCGUGCAGGAUGACGGCCCUAUGGGUUGUAAACUGCUUUUAUACAGGAAUAAAGUUAGCCACGUGUGGUUAUUUGUAGGUACUGUAUGAAUAAGGACCGGCUAAUUCCGUGCCAGCAGCCGCGGUAA
RNAcentral lists this ribosomal RNA (506 nucleotides) under uncultured bacterium. RNAcentral describes it as "partial 16S ribosomal RNA". It matches the Rfam family "Bacterial small subunit ribosomal RNA", at positions 28 to 523 of the family's 1533-position model. The record is from RNAcentral.